UGGGGAAUAUUGGACAAUGGGGGCAACCCUGAUCCAGCAAUGCCGCGUGUGUGAAGAAGGUCUUCGGAUUGUAAAGCACUUUCGACGGGGACGAUGAUGACGGUACCCGUAGAAGAAGCCCCGGCUAACUUCGUGCCAGCAGCCGCGGUAAUACGAAGGGGGCUAGCGUUGCUCGGAAUGACUGGGCGUAAAGGGCGUGUAGGCGGUUUACACAGUCAGAUGUGAAAUCCCCGGGCUUAACCUGGGAGCUGCAUUUGAUACGUGUAGACUAGAGUGUGAGAGAGGGUUUGUGGAAUUCCCAGUGUAGAGGUGAAAUUCGUAGAUAUUG
RNAcentral lists this ribosomal RNA (328 nucleotides) under uncultured bacterium. Its description in RNAcentral is "partial 16S ribosomal RNA". It matches the Rfam family "Bacterial small subunit ribosomal RNA", at positions 355 to 699 of the family's 1533-position model. The record is from RNAcentral.